Molecule: ribosomal RNA, 484 nt
Filed under: Burkholderia sp. 'ARUP UnID 168'
Lineage: Bacteria; Pseudomonadati; Pseudomonadota; Betaproteobacteria; Burkholderiales; Burkholderiaceae
Description: bacterial SSU rRNA
Rfam family: Bacterial small subunit ribosomal RNA
Source: RNAcentral
GAUUGAACGCUGGCGGCAUGCCUUACACAUGCAAGUCGAACGGCAGCACGGGGGCAACCCUGGUGGCGAGUGGCGAACGGGUGAGUAAUACAUCGGAACGUGUCCUGUAGUGGGGGAUAGCCCGGCGAAAGCCGGAUUAAUACCGCAUACGACCUAAGGGAGAAAGCGGGGGAUCUUCGGACCUCGCGCUAUAGGGGCGGCCGAUGGCAGAUUAGCUAGUUGGUGGGGUAAAGGCCUACCAAGGCGACGAUCUGUAGCUGGUCUGAGAGGACGACCAGCCACACUGGGACUGAGACACGGCCCAGACUCCUACGGGAGGCAGCAGUGGGGAAUUUUGGACAAUGGGGGCAACCCUGAUCCAGCAAUGCCGCGUGUGUGAAGAAGGCCUUCGGGUUGUAAAGCACUUUUGUCCGGAAAGAAAACUUGCGUCCUAAUAUGAUGCGAGGAUGACGGUACCGGAAGAAUAAGCACCGGCUAACUACGU